CCUGUAAUGAGGAUACGUUCCUUUUCUUCAGAAAAGAUUACAAAUAGAAAUCAUUAAUCCCACAAGGAGAGACGCACCCUGGGUACAGAGGAUGGACUGCACCUCACAAGACAGGUCCACGUGCUGCUGCCAAAGACACACCAAUUCUGCUGGGCGCGAAUGGAUUCUAGUAGCGCAUCUGUUACCGGUCACUUAUGACCACAAUUUUCAUUAUUGUCUGGAUAACUGCAAGGAAUGUACAACCUUCUACACAGUUGAUGGCCAAGAGCUUUGUCUGUCUCUCAGCACCACAGAGCACCGAGAGAGUGGUUUCUAUCUUUGGUUUUCUAGCUGUAUGAGUGUACAGAACCUUUCAUAAAGCUAGAUAACCGAAAGUAGGAAUGAUUCUCAUAGUCGCUUUAUUUUACUGGAAAUGCAGCUGACGAACAUCUUCUGCGCUCAAGGCUCAUCCAAGCUGUGCUAACCGUAGGAAGAGCCUGGCUGUGCUGGGAGAGAUAGAAGGGAGCACAUGUCUGUCCUCGGCUCUCAGCUCCUUACCCACAAAACCAUGGGUGCCAUCUGAGAAGAGAGAAGCUAUGGCAAUGCCACAGUGGGAGAUACAGGCCGCCAGUCUGCGGGCAUAGGGGUGCGGGCAAGGAGGCCAUCUUAUGUGGGAACGUCUCUGCAGUGUCUAAGAUGGCUGAGCUGGCAUCCGAGGUGUUUUCCAUUAGAUUGAUGGACAUGACUUUUGAAGAUGGACUGGACAUGCUGGCCCUGUGAUAUGAUGGAAAAGAUGGACAUGACAGGAGUGUGUGUGUGUGUGUGAAAAGACAAGAUGAGACCAAAGACUAUUCUCAGCUGCCCUCUCAGCCACCACAAUUACAGCGAAGGAUCAGGAAACUGUAUUUUGUUGAAUAACCAGCAGUUGUUUGUCGUCUAUACAAUACAAUUACAUAAUUCUAUGUUACUAUAUAAUUUGAGCAUGUUUUAUGUUAUCUUUUAUGAAUAAGUUAAAUUUGAGACAGUUUACUGUCCUUGCAUA
This is a long non-coding RNA of Alosa sapidissima (American shad), 1021 nucleotides long. RefSeq lists it as uncharacterized. The record is from RefSeq and is a predicted model, not a curated record. The transcript is spliced from 4 exons. NCBI's taxonomy places the organism in Eukaryota, Metazoa, Chordata, Actinopteri, Clupeiformes, Clupeidae.